This 301-nucleotide ribosomal RNA is filed under the name uncultured bacterium. Its description in RNAcentral is "partial 16S ribosomal RNA". It matches the Rfam family "Bacterial small subunit ribosomal RNA", at positions 509 to 807 of the family's 1533-position model. The record is from RNAcentral.
CAGUAGCCGCGGUAAUGCGUAGGUGGCAAGCGUUGUCCGGAAUUAUUGGGCAUAAAGGGCUCGCAGGCGGUUUCUUAAGUCUGAUGUGAAAGCCCCCGGCUCAACCGGGGGGGGUCAUUGGAAACUGGGAAACUUGAGUGCAGAAGAGGAGAGUGGAAUUCCACGUGUAGCGGUGAAAUGCGUAGAGAUGUGGAGGAACACCAGUGGCGAAGGCGACUCUCUGGUCUGUAACUGACGCUGAGGAGCGAAAGCGUGGGGAGCGAACAGGAUUAGAUACCCCCGUAGUCCCUGUCUCUUAUAC